Molecule: ribosomal RNA, 555 nt
Filed under: Triticum aestivum (bread wheat)
Lineage: Eukaryota; Viridiplantae; Streptophyta; Magnoliopsida; Poales; Poaceae
Description: partial small subunit ribosomal RNA
Source: RNAcentral
AUGUCCGAUAACGGGGCUUCAGUAGUGAAUCUAUCAGCACCACAGCAGUGGCAUACAACUUUGGACCUAAGGGCUGGUCCCGUUACCUUUCGGAAUGGGGGAUCCCCGUUGGCAACAACCACGUAUGCCACUGUCCAAUGUCACAUACCUGAUUAUUUAGCAUUGGAACCCCAUUUUUCAUGGGAUAAACAAGCGAGCGGCACCUCCCCUUUUCUGUUUGGGGUAAAGGAUCCCAUUUGGUUGAUGCUGUGCUGUGAUAACCUGGUUGGCAAGUUUAUGUUUUUCUUCUGGUUCAAACACGAAAAUUUAUGUUAUCCUGUUUUUAUUUGGCCUGCAGUGACUCCUUUUGUCCGAAGUGAAGAAAUGUCAGUUACUUCUUUCAUUGCAGUAAUGCGACCAUCAGUCCGAAUUAACUUCUGGACACAGCAUAUUUGUUUCCAUUGUGUGUUGAUGCGUUCUAUUCUUUACUGUAUGGCUAUGAUGAUUUUUGUGCCCCUUGUGGUGCUGGAGAUCUUUCACCAUAUCCUGAGAUGGAGAUGUUUUUACAUCUCCUAG